Molecule: long non-coding RNA, 217 nt
Filed under: Elaeis guineensis (African oil palm)
Lineage: Eukaryota; Viridiplantae; Streptophyta; Magnoliopsida; Arecales; Arecaceae
Description: long non-coding RNA (EGUI_LNC000711)
Source: RNAcentral
UCCCUUGUAGCCGCACAAACAUCCGACCUCUACAGAUAUCUAUACGAGACUCUGAUCUGAUCAGAAGCCUUUUAAUCUCAUUGAGAUGCUAGCUCUCUUGCAAAGAUCGUAUCUUGACAGUUGAAAAAUCUUCUUUUCUCCUAACAUACUCUUAGAAAACAAAAAGAUGUAGUAGGAUCUUGAUCUUUAUGCUAGAGAUCAUGAGAAGAACAUUUUC